GAUGAACGCUGGCGGCGUGCCUAAUACAUGCAAGUCGAGCGAACAGACGAGGAGCUUGCUCCUCUGACGUUAGCGGCGGACGGGUGAGUCACACGUGGAUAACCUACCUAUAAGACUGGGAUCACUUCGGGAAACCGGAGCUAAUACCGGAUAAUAUAUUGAACCGCAUGGUUCAAUAGUGAAAGACGGUUUUGCUGUCACUUAUAGAUGGAUCCUCGCCGCAUUAGCUAGUUGGUAAGGUAACGGCUUACCAAGGCAACGAUGCGUAGCCGACCUGAGAGGGUGAUCGGCCACACUGGAACUGAGACACGGUCCAGACUCCUACGGGAGGCAGCAGUAGGGAAUCUUCCGCAAUGGGCGAAAGCCUGACGGAGCAACGCCGCGUGAGUGAUGAAGGUCUUCGGAUCGUAAAACUCUGUUAUUAGGGAAGAACAAAUGUGUAAGUAACUAUGCACGUCUUGACGGUACCUAAUCAGAAAGCCACGGCUAACUACGUG
RNAcentral lists this ribosomal RNA (497 nucleotides) under uncultured bacterium. RNAcentral's name for it is "partial 16S ribosomal RNA". It matches the Rfam family "Bacterial small subunit ribosomal RNA", at positions 28 to 507 of the family's 1533-position model. The record is from RNAcentral.